This 428-nucleotide ribosomal RNA is filed under the name uncultured bacterium. RNAcentral's name for it is "bacterial SSU rRNA". It matches the Rfam family "Bacterial small subunit ribosomal RNA", at positions 357 to 776 of the family's 1533-position model. The record is from RNAcentral.
GGGAAUCUUCCGCAAUGGACGAAAGUCUGACGGAGCAACGCCGCGUGAGUGAUGAAGGUUUUCGGAUCGUAAAACUCUGUUGUUAGGGAAGAACAAGUACCGUUCGAAAAGGGCGGUACCUUGACGGUACCUAACCAGAAAGCCACGGCGAACUACGUGCCAGCAGCCGCGGUAAUACGUAGGUGGCAAGCGUUGUCCGGAAUUAUUGGGCGUAAAGAGCGCGCAGGCGGUUUCUUAAGUCUGAUGUGAAAGCCCCCGGCUCAACCGGGGAGGGUCAUUGGAAACUGGGGAACUUGAGUGCAGAAGAGGAGAGUGGAAUUCCACGUGUAGCGGUGAAAUGCGUAGAGAUGUGGAGGAACACCAGUGGCGAAGGCGACUCUCUGGUCUGUAACUGACGCUGAGGCGCGAAAGCGUGGGGAGCGAACAGG